AGAGUUUGAUCUUGGCUCAGGAUGAACGCUGGCGGCAUGCCUAAUACAUGCAAGUCGAACGAGAGACCUUCGGGUCUCUAGUGGCGAACGGGUGAGUAACACGUAGGGAACCUGCCCGCGCACCGGGAAUACGCUCUGGAAACGGAGAACAAAUCCCGAUGUACAGGAAGGAGGCAUCUUCUUUCUGUGAAACAUCCUUUAGGGGAUGGGGCGCGGAUGGACCUGCGGUGCAUUAGUUUGUUGGCGGGGUAAAGGCCCACCAAGACGAUGAUGCAUAGCCGGCCUGAGAGGGCGGACGGCCACAUUGGGACUGAGACACGGCCCAGACUCCUGCGGGAGGCAGCAGUAGGGAAUUUUCGUCAAUGGGCGCAAGCCUGAACGAGCGAUGCCGCGUGAGUGAAGAAGGCCUUCGGGUCGUAAAGCUCUGUUGCGGGGGAAAAAAGGCAGCAUCAGGAAAUGGGUGCUGACUGAUGGUGCCCCGCCAGAAAGUCACGGCUAACUACGUGCCAGCAGCCGCGGUAAUACGUAGGUGGCGAGCGUUAUCCGGAAUGAUUGGGCGUAAAGGGUGCGCAGGCGGUCCUGCAAGUCUGGAGUGAAACGCAUGAGCUCAACUCAUGCAUGGCUUUGGAAACUGGAGGACUGGAGAGCAGGAGAGGGCGGUGGAACUCCAUGUGUAGCGGUAAAAUGCGUAGAUAUAUGGAAGAACACCAGUGGCGAAGGCGGCCGCCUGGCCUGUUGCUGACGCUGAGGCACGAAAGCGUGGGGAGCAAAUAGGAUUAGAUACCCUAGUAGUCCACGCCGUAAACGAUGAGGACCAAGUGUUGGGGGUGAAACCUCAGUGCUGAAGUUAACGCAGUGAGUCCUCCGCCUGGGGAGUAUGCACGCAAGUGUGAAACUCAAAGGAAUUGACGGGGGCCCGCACAAGCGGUGGAGUAUGUGGUUUAAUUCGAAGCAACGCGAAGAACCUUACCAGGCCUUGACAUCCCGGUGACCGCUGUAGAGAUACAGUUUUCCCUUCGGGGACGCCGGUGACAGGUGGUGCAUGGUUGUCGUCAGCUCGUGUCGUGAGAUGUUGGGUUAAGUCCCGCAACGAGCGCAACCCUUAUUGUUAGUUGCUACGCAAGAGCACUCUAGCGAGACUGCCGUUGACAAAACGGAGGAAGGUGGGGACGACGUCAAAUCAUCAUGCCCCUUAUGUCCUGGGCCACACACGUACUACAAUGGUGGUCAACAGAGGGAAGCAAUACCGCGAGGUGGAGCAAAUCCCUAAAAGCCAUCCCAGUUCGGAUCGCAGGCUGCAACCCGCCUGCGUGAAGUUGGAAUCGCUAGUAAUCGCGGAUCAGCAUGCCGCGGUGAAUACGUUCCCGGGCCUUGCACACACCGCCCGUCAA
Molecule: ribosomal RNA, 1391 nt
Filed under: uncultured bacterium
Lineage: Bacteria
Description: bacterial SSU rRNA
Rfam family: Bacterial small subunit ribosomal RNA
Source: RNAcentral